RNAcentral lists this ribosomal RNA (274 nucleotides) under uncultured bacterium. RNAcentral's name for it is "partial 16S ribosomal RNA". It matches the Rfam family "Bacterial small subunit ribosomal RNA", at positions 523 to 796 of the family's 1533-position model. The record is from RNAcentral.
AUACGGAGGGUGCGAGCGUUAAUCGGAAUUACUGGGCGUAAAGCGCGCGUAGGCGGAUAAUUAAGUCAGAUGUGAAAUCCCCGGGCUCAACCUGGGAACUGCAUUUGAUACUGAUUAACUAGAGUAUGGUAGAGGUGAGUGGAAUUUCCGGUGUAGCGGUGAAAUGCGUAGAGAUCGGAAGGAACACCAGUGGCGAAGGCGACUCACUGGGCCAUUACUGACGCUGAGGUGCGAAAGCGUGGGGAGCGAACAGGAUUAGAAACCCUAGUAGUCC